Molecule: long non-coding RNA, 585 nt
Organism: Gavialis gangeticus (Gharial)
Lineage: Eukaryota; Metazoa; Chordata; Crocodylia; Gavialidae
Exons: 3
Source: RefSeq, a predicted model, not a curated record
GUGGCACUUGAGGAGAGUGUGGACCUAAUUUGUGGCAUGCCUGCUAAAAAGAUUGGCCUGCUACUGAGAAAACAUUGUGGUGGAGGUGGCUGUCUUGUUCUAGAACUGACACCCUUAAAUGCAGUUAAGGCCAUUUAAGAUUUCUAUACCACACUGAUAUAGAGACCCUGUACCUCAAGUCUUCCAAGCACGUUCAGUAAGACAUGUUAUGUUAAGAAGCUGGGAGGGGGAAGGUAUGAAUGCCAUAUGCAAGUGAUGCUUGCAAUCAUUCUAUCAUGUAAGGAAAGAGUGUACCAGCUUGAAUACUACAGAUCAGUCUCUUUCUAGGCAGAUAGUCCUGCAAGACCUGAAGGUGAUGUCUAGUAUGUGGUAUUAGAAAGGCACAAAAGGCCAUAUGCUGUAGGAUUGAUGGGCAGAUUCUUAUUGGAGCCUUUGGGCAUCUCAACCUGUAGGACAUGCUCUUUUAAGUGCUUGGAAGUGGUACUGUGUGCAAAGUUUCAAGAAGGUAAAUGAAUAGAGAAUUGUUGGGGGUGGAGUAUAUCUGGGAAAGGAGGAGUCUGGAGAUAAAUGCAAAGAGGGAGAAAG